RNAcentral lists this ribosomal RNA (397 nucleotides) under uncultured bacterium. RNAcentral describes it as "bacterial SSU rRNA". It matches the Rfam family "Bacterial small subunit ribosomal RNA", at positions 358 to 772 of the family's 1533-position model. The record is from RNAcentral.
GGAAUAUUGGACAAUGGGCGCAAGCCUGAUCCAGCCAUGCCGCGUGAGUGCUGAAGGCCUUAGGGUUGUAAAGCUCUUUCAGUAGGGAAGAUACUGACGGUACCUCCCGAAGAAGCCCCGGCUAACUUCGUGCCAGCAGCCGCGGUAAUACGAAGGGGGCUAGCGUUGUUCGGAUUUACUGGGCGUAAAGCGCACGUAGGCGGUUUGUUAAGUCAGAGGUGAAAUCCCGGAGCUCAACUCCGGAACUGCCUUUGAUACUGGCAAGCUAGAGUCCGGAAGAGGUAAGUGGAACUCCUAGUGUAGAGGCGGAAUUCGUAGAUAUUAGGAAGAACACCAGUGGCGAAGGCGGCUUACUGGUCCAGAACUGACGCUGAGGUGCGAAAGCGUGGGGAGCAAA